RNAcentral lists this ribosomal RNA (358 nucleotides) under uncultured bacterium. RNAcentral describes it as "bacterial SSU rRNA". It matches the Rfam family "Bacterial small subunit ribosomal RNA", at positions 917 to 1271 of the family's 1533-position model. The record is from RNAcentral.
GGGCCUGCACAAGCGGUGGAGUAUGUGGCUUAAUUCGAUGCAACGCGAAGAACCUUACCUGGCCUUGACAUGUAGUGGCCCGGGUGCGAAAUCACCCUUUUCUUCGGAACUGCUACACAGGUGCUGCAUGGCUGUCGUCAGCUCGUGUCGUGAGAUGUUGGUUAAGUCCCGCAACGAGCGCAACCCCCGUGUUCUGUUGCCACCCGGAUGCGAAUCCGGAGCACUCUGGACAGACUGCCUGGUUUAACCAGGAGGAAGGUGGGGAUGACGUCAAGUCAGUAUGGCCCUUACGGCCAGGGCUGCACACGUACUACAAUGCCCGGUACAAUGGGAAGCGAGACCGCGAGGUGGGAGCAAA